GGAAUUUUGUAAGAUUUAUUGAGAAUAGAACAGGCUUCCUGUCCCCUAACCCUGUGGUGGAUCCUGAGAAGAGGGAAGCCUAGGUCUGGGUGGUGUGGGCUGGAGGCCCUACCCACCUGCAAAUGGGGACUCCCAGGCCCCCGCGGGUGCAUACAGUGAACAAAGUGAUGGGGCUCCCUAUCUCCUGCCGAGCCCAGUGGGUGGCCUGACUCUGGUGAGCACCACACACCCCAGAGUCCCAUCUUCCAGGAAAAGCUGGGGUCUUACAGCAGAGAGGCUCUGGGAGCACAUCUCCCCUUCUGGUCCCCAAAGGCCCCCAGCUGCCUGGCCCCUGGCCCACUAACCCAGGCAUGCUCCUUCCAGCACUGGGCAGAGGAGUCAGGAAGAUGCCCUUCCUCACCCCCACUGACGCCACCUCUCCAGGGACCUUAACGCAGGGGCUGGGAAUGGAAUCGGAAGCUAGAAUGAGCAGGCAGCAGCAGCUCCCCUAGGUAUCUGCCUCUGAGAGGACCUGAGGACAGAGGCGAGGCC
RNAcentral lists this long non-coding RNA (531 nucleotides) under Homo sapiens (human). RNAcentral describes it as "non-protein coding lnc-GDPD4-1:2". Lineage: Eukaryota; Metazoa; Chordata; Mammalia; Primates; Hominidae. The record is from RNAcentral.